This 1639-nucleotide ribosomal RNA is filed under the name Helicobacter pylori. Its description in RNAcentral is "partial 23S ribosomal RNA". It matches the Rfam family "Bacterial large subunit ribosomal RNA", at positions 1 to 1655 of the family's 2925-position model. Lineage: Bacteria; Pseudomonadati; Campylobacterota; Epsilonproteobacteria; Campylobacterales; Helicobacteraceae. The record is from RNAcentral.
AAACAAGCUUUUAAGAGCAGAUGGCGGAUGCCUUGCCAAAGAGAGGCGAUGAAGGACGUACUAGACUGCGAUAAGCUAUGCGGAGCUGUCAAGGAGCUUUGAUGCGUAGAUGUCCGAAUGGGGCAACCCAACUAAUAGAGAUAUUAGUUACUCUAAUACAGAGAGCGAACCUAGUGAAGUGAAACAUCUCAGUAACUAGAGGAAAAGAAAUCAACGAGAUUCCCUAAGUAGUGGCGAGCGAACGGGGAAAAGGGCAAACCGAGUGCUUGCAUUCGGGGUUGAGGACUGCAACAUCCAAGAGAACGCUUUAGCAGAGUUACCUGGAAAGGUAAGCCAUAGAAAGUGAUAGCCUUGUAUGCGACAAGGCGUUUUUAGGUAGCAGUAUCCAGAGUAGGCCAGGACACGAGAAAUCCAGGUUGAAGCCGGGGAGACCACUCUCCAACCCUAAAUACUACUCUUUGAGCGAUAGCGAACAAGUACCGUGAGGGAAAGGUGAAAAGAACCGCAGUGAGCGGAGUGAAAUAGAACCUGAAACCAUCUGCUUACAAUCAUUCAGAGCCCUAUGAUUUAUCAGGGUGAUGGACUGCCUUUUGCAUAAUGAUCCUGCGAGUUGUGGUAUCUGGCAAGGUUAAGCGAAUGCGAAGCCGUAGCGAAAGCGAGUCUUAAUAGGGCGCUUGAGUCAGAUGCUGCAGACCCGAAGCUAAGUGAUCUAUCCAUGGCCAAGUUGAAACGCGUGUAAUAGCGCGUGGAGGACUGAACUCGUACCCAUUGAAACGGGUUGGGAUGAGCUGUGGAUAGGGGUGAAAGGCCAAACAAACUUAGUGAUAGCUGGUUCUCUUCGAAAUAUAUUUAGGUAUAGCCUCAAGUGAUAAUAAAAGGGGGUAGAGCCCUGAUUGGGCUAGGGCUGCUCGCCGCGGUACCAAACCCUAUCAAACUUCGAAUACCUUUUAUCGUAUCUUGGGAGUCAGGCGGUGGGUGAUAAAAUCAAUCGUCAAAAGGGGAACAACCCAGACUACCAAAUAAGGUCCCUAAGUUCUAUUCUGAGUGGAAAAAGAUGUGUGGCUACUCAAACAACCAGGAGGUUGGCUUAGAAGCAGCCAUCCUUUAAAGAAAGCGUAACAGCUCACUGGUCUAGUGGUCAUGCGCUGAAAAUAUAACGGGGCUAAGAUAGACACCGAAUUUGUAGAUUGUGUUAAACACAGUGGUAGAAGAGCGUUCAUACCAGCGUUGAAGGUAUACCGGUAAGGAGUGCUGGAGCGGUAUGAAGUGAGCAUGCAGGAAUGAGUAACGAUAAGAUAUAUGAGAAUUGUAUCCGCCGUAAAUCUAAGGUUUCCUACGCGAUGGUCGUCAUCGUAGGGUUAGUCGGGUCCUAAGCCGAGUCCGAAAGGGGUAGGUGAUGGCAAAUUGGUUAAUAUUCCAAUACCGACUAUGGAGCGUGAUGGGGGGACGCAUAGGGUUAAGCGAGCUAGCUGAUGGAAGCGCUAGUCUAAGGGCGUAGAUUGGAGGGAAGGCAAAUCCACCUCUGUAUUUGAAACCCAAACAGGCUCUUUGAGUCCUUUUAGGACAAAGGGAGAAUCGCUGAUACCGUCGUGCCAAGAAAAGCCUCUAAGCAUAUCCAUAGUCGUCCGUACCGCAAACC